RNAcentral lists this ribosomal RNA (552 nucleotides) under Strangalia bicolor. RNAcentral's name for it is "partial 16S ribosomal RNA". It matches the Rfam family "Bacterial large subunit ribosomal RNA", at positions 1799 to 2619 of the family's 2925-position model. Lineage: Eukaryota; Metazoa; Arthropoda; Insecta; Coleoptera; Cerambycidae. The record is from RNAcentral.
CUUGUUUAUCAAAAACAUGUCCUUUUGUUAAUAAUUUAAGGUCUCGCCUGCCCACUGAUAAUUUUAAAGGCCGCAGUAUUUUGACUGUGCAAAGGUAGCAUAAUCAUUAGUUUUUUAAUUGAAAGCUGGUAUGAAAGGUUGGAUGAGAAAAAAACUGUCUCUAUUUAAAUUAAUAAAAAUUUUAUUUUUAAGUUAAAAAGCUUAAAUUUUUUUAAAAGACGAGAAGACCCUAUAGAGUUUAAUAAAAAUUUAAUUUUAUUAUUAUUUUAGAAUUUUAAAAUAAGAAAUUUAAAUAUUUUAUUUAGUUGGGGUGAUUGAAAAAUUGAAAAAACUUUUUUUUUAUAAUUACAUUAAUUUAUGAAAAUUUGAUCCGUUAUUAAUGAUUAUAAGAUAAAAUUACCUUAGGGAUAACAGCGUAAUUAUUUUUUAGAGUUCAAAUCGAAAAAAAUGGAUUGCGACCUCGAUGUUGGAUUAAAAUUAAUUUUUGGUGUAGAAGCUAAGAGUUUGGGUCUGUUCGACCUUUAAAAUUUUCAUGAUCUGAGUUCAAACCGG